Molecule: long non-coding RNA, 1210 nt
Organism: Nomascus leucogenys (northern white-cheeked gibbon)
Lineage: Eukaryota; Metazoa; Chordata; Mammalia; Primates; Hylobatidae
Exons: 2
Source: RefSeq, a predicted model, not a curated record
UCAUAUCCAGCAGCUAGAGUGGCCGGGACAAACUGGCUGGGGCCAAGCACUGUUGAAGCAACAGGGUCUGGUGACUCAGCUCAAGACCUGAAUGCAGUCAGGCUAGAGUCCCGGAUUCCUCAGAUCUCGGCUGCUCUUUGUUUUUGGAGCAUGUGGAGGCACUGAGGGCCAGGCACCAUUCCACACCUUAAAUUCCCUCAGUCUGAAUAGACACCAAGAUCUGCCCCAGGGGCCUCAGCCAUCAGUGCAACACCUUCGCUAGUGACCGGCAUUGUUUAACUACAGAAUGAACUGGACUGACCCCUCUUUUCUUCAGCUGGCCAGCUCUGAACUAUCAGCACAGCCUUGUCAGCAUCUCUUCACGAAGCCUUCUCUUGCGCCACAUGGGGCUCAGGGCCCUGACUCUGGGCUGCUUGCCUUAGCCCCUCUGCCUCACACACUAAGCAUGUGGCCGUGUGCUGGCAGGGAUGGUACCGCAGUCACCUCUGAGGCCUCAGGGCCUGGCACAAUGCACACACAUUUGUGGAACAGCUGGCUGAACAGAUUCGAGAUCUAUCUAGUCUGUAUCAAGGACUUUCUGUUGGCUUUUGGCAUGAGCCCUGAGAACCGCUAUGGGGGCACGAGGAAUGGUGUGGGCAGGUGAAGGGCUGCAGUUUUCACCUCUGGAGAGUGAAGGACCUACCGUCAGGGCCUGGAGUGCCUCCCAUUCCUGCGGGGACUGGACCUUGUGGGCCAGCAGUCGGACGGCGAUCUGUGGCCUGGGGGACAAGCAGAACACACUUCAGUGCACUAAGCCUGGGGCUACCUGGCUGGCCCUCCUUGGCCAUGGUUGUUCCCCUUCCCAGUCCGCUCCCUCUCAGCUGCCCCCACAGUGCUGAGACUCACCCUUCGAGCUCCUUGUUGAUCUGAUCACAGAAGCCAAUUAUGUAUUCCCAGUCCUCCUGGCGGUUGGAAGGAUUGGUGGCUUUAUCUUGCGACAGAACAAAGAAGAGGACAAGUGUUAGGAAGAGCAAGGAGGAUGCAGUGGAAGGUUUUCUUCGCAAGUUUUAGGCACUAAGAGUUUGCUUUCAACUUUACUCUCUAAUAGAGAAGCGUCAGUAGAACAGUCAGUAGCAAGGAGACAGAAAAAAAAAAGGUUCAGUCGGAGAGCACAUACAAAUACUGCUUUCUGUCCAGUAUUUUGAAAGUCACAAAUAAAAGAGAAAACAAA